RNAcentral lists this ribosomal RNA (433 nucleotides) under uncultured bacterium. Its description in RNAcentral is "partial 16S ribosomal RNA". It matches the Rfam family "Bacterial small subunit ribosomal RNA", at positions 29 to 507 of the family's 1533-position model. The record is from RNAcentral.
AACGAACGCUGGCGGCAUGCCUAACACAUGCAAGUCGAACGAGACCUUCGGGUCUAGUGGCGCACGGGUGCGUAACGCGUGGGAACCUGCCCUUAGGUUCGGAAUAACUACCCGAAAGGGGUGCUAAUACCGGAUAAUGUCUUCGGACCAAAGAUUUAUCGCCUUUGGAUGGGCCCGCGUUGGAUUAGCUAGUUGGUAGGGUAAAAGCAUACCAAGGCGACGAUCAAUAGCUGGUCUGAGAGGAUGAUCAGCCACACUGGGACUGAGACACGGCCCAGACUCCUACGGGAGGCAGCAGUGGGGAAUAGUGGAAAAUGGGCGAAAGCCUGAUCCAGCAAUGCCGCGUGAGUGAUGAAGGCCUUAGGGUUGUAAAGCUCUUGUACCCGGGAUGAUAAUGACAGUACCGGGAGAAUAAGCUACGGCUAACUACGUG